Molecule: ribosomal RNA, 305 nt
Filed under: uncultured bacterium
Lineage: Bacteria
Description: bacterial SSU rRNA
Rfam family: Bacterial small subunit ribosomal RNA
Source: RNAcentral
UCUCCUACGGGACGCAGCAGUGGGGAAUAUUGGGCAAUGAGCGCAAGCCUUACCCAGCAAUACCGCGUGAGUGAAGAAGGUCUUCGGAUUGUAAAGCUCUUUGAUCAGGGACGAACAGAUGACGGUACCUGAAGAACAAGCCCCGGCUAACUACGUGCCAGCAGCCGCGGUAAUACGUAGGGGGCAAGCGUUAUCCGGAAUUAUUGGGCGUAAAGAGUACGUAGGUGGCAACCUAAGCGCAGGGUUUAAGGCAAUGGCUCAACCAUUGUUCGCCCUGCGAACUGGGAUGCUUGAGUGCAGGAGAG